This 408-nucleotide long non-coding RNA is filed under the name Junco hyemalis (dark-eyed junco). RNAcentral describes it as "lncRNA (ENSJHYG00000007157.1)". Lineage: Eukaryota; Metazoa; Chordata; Aves; Passeriformes; Passerellidae. The record is from RNAcentral.
GCAGAAAAUCAGAGACACAGUAACUAGCAGCCAAGCCAGCUGCUAACUCAAGUGAAAAUGCAAGCCAGCUAGCAAGGGCUGAACAUUGCAGCAAGAGAGGAAUCCUCAGUUUUGGGUCAGGGUUGUUGAGUUGUGAUGGCAGCAGGAUCUCAGCCCUGGGAAAGAUUACAAUCUCAUUAUUAGUCAAGAGGAAGCAGGAAAGGGAAAGCUUGUAACAAAUGAGGUACAAAAGUGAAACAGGAGAUAAUUAUUAAUUGAAUUACUAUUUUAAGGUGAGGUCACACACGACUACAAACAAAAUUUCAAUGUAGAAAUCUGUAUGAGUAACACUAAAACAGUCCAACUGAUAAAAUAUUUUAACUAAUGUAAGACUUUCCUCAAGAAUUUUACUCAUAUGUAUUUAUAUAG